This 216-nucleotide ribosomal RNA is filed under the name uncultured bacterium. Its description in RNAcentral is "partial 16S ribosomal RNA". It matches the Rfam family "Bacterial small subunit ribosomal RNA", at positions 137 to 353 of the family's 1533-position model. The record is from RNAcentral.
UCGGGGAUAGCCUUCGAAAGAAAGAUUAAUACCCGAUGGCAUAAUAGAACCGCAUGGUUUGAUUAUUAAAGAAUUUCGGUUAUCGAUGGGGAUGCGUUCCAUUAGGCAGUUGGUGGGGUAACGGCCCACCAAACCUUCGAUGGAUAGGGGUUCUGAGAGGAAGGUCCCCCACAUUGGAACUGAGACACGGUCCAAACUCCUACGGGAGGCAGCAUG